GGAUCAGGUAGGGAUACCCGCUGAACUUAAGCAUAUCAAUAAGCGGAGGAAAAGAAACCAACAGGGAUUGCCUCAGUAACGGCGAGUGAAGCGGCAACAGCUCAAAUUUGAAAUCUGGCCUCACGGUCCGAGUUGUAAUUUGUAGAGGAUGCUUCGAGCGUGGUCCGGUCUAAGUUCCUUGGAACAGGACGUCAUAGAGGGUGAGAAUCCCGUAUGUGACUGGGUGCCUAAGCUCUUGUGAAGCUCCUUCGACGAGUCGAGUUGUUUGGGAAUGCAGCUCAAAAUGGGUGGUAAAUUUCAUCUAAAGCUAAAUACUGGCCAGAGACCGAUAGCGCACAAGUAGAGUGAUCGAAAGAUGAAAAGCACUUUGGAAGGAGGGUUAAACAGUACGUGAAAUUGUUGAAAGGGAAGCGCUUGCAACCAGACUUGCAUGCACUCGAUCAUCCGGUGUCCUCACCGGUGCACUCGAAUGUAUUCAGGCCAGCAUUGGUUUCAGUGGUUGGAUAAAGGCCAGGGGAAUGUAGCUUCUCUCGGGGAGUGUUAUAGCCUCUGGUGCCAUGCGGCCUACUGGGACCGAGGACCGCGCUCCGGCUAGGAUGCUGGCGUAAUGGUUGUAAGCGACC
RNAcentral lists this ribosomal RNA (623 nucleotides) under uncultured fungus. RNAcentral describes it as "eukaryotic LSU rRNA". It matches the Rfam family "Eukaryotic large subunit ribosomal RNA", at positions 1 to 649 of the family's 3401-position model. Lineage: Eukaryota; Fungi. The record is from RNAcentral.